GCCUUCGUGGUGUAGUGGUCAGCACGCUCGACGCGUAACCGAGAGGUCCGUGGUUCGAUUCCCGGGGAACGCG
RNAcentral lists this transfer RNA (73 nucleotides) under Stegodyphus mimosarum. It matches the Rfam family "tRNA". From Rfam's summary of the family: Transfer RNA (tRNA) molecules are approximately 80 nucleotides in length. The record is from Rfam by way of RNAcentral. Lineage: Eukaryota; Metazoa; Arthropoda; Arachnida; Araneae; Eresidae.